CGAGUUUGAUCCUGGCUCAGGAUGAACGCUGGCGGCGUGCCUACUACAUGCAAGUCGAGCGAGUGCCUUUCGGGGCACAAGCGGCGGACGGGUGAGGAACACGUGGAUAACCUAACCAGAAGAUGGGGAUAGUCUCUGGAAACGGAGGUUAAUACCGAAUAAGCCCUUUGGUCCAUAUGGAUCGGAGUGGGAAAGGCGCAAGCCACUUUUGGAGGGGUCCGCGGCGCAUUAGCUAGUUGGUGGGGUAAGGGCCUACCAAGGCGACGAUGCGUAGCCGGCCUGAGAGGGUGUACGGCCACACUGGGACUGAGACACGGCCCAGACUCCUACGGGAGGCAGCAGUAGGGAAUCUUCCGCAAUGGGCGCAAGCCUGACGGAGCGACGCCGCGUGAGUGAUGACGGCCUUUGGGUUGUAAAACUCUGUCCAUCGGGAAGAAGAUAUGACGGUACCGAUGAAGAAAGCCCCGGCUAACUACGUGCCAGCAGCCGCGGUAAUACGUAGGGGGCAAGCGUUGUCCGGAAUUAUUGGGCGUAAAGGGCGCGUAGGCGGGUACAUAGGUCGGACGUGAAAGGCAUCGGCUCAACCGGUGUAAGCGUCCGAAACGGUGCGCCUUGAGUCCGGUAGAGGGAAGCGGAAUUUCUGGUGGAGCGGUGGAAUGCGUAGAGAUCAGAAGGAACACCGGUGGCGAAGGCGGCUUCCUGGACCGGUACUGACGCUGAGGCGCGAAGUCGUGGGGAGCAAACAGGAUUAGAUACCCUGGUAGUCCACGCAGUAAACGAUGAGUGCUAGGUGUAGGGGUGCUUGAGCACCUUUGUGCCGAAGGAAACCCAUUAAGCACUCCGCCUGGGGAGUACGACCGCAAGGUUGAAACUCAAAGGAAUUGACGGGGGCCCGCACAAGCGGUGGAGCAUGUGGUUUAAUUCGAUGCAACGCGAAGAACCUUACCAGGGCUUGACAUACUACUGAACACGGCUGAAAGGUCGUGGGCCCUUCGGGGACAGUAAUACAGGUGGUGCAUGGUUGUCGUCAGCUCGUGUCGUCAGAUGUUGGGUUCAGUCCCGCAACGAGCGCAACCCUUAUUUUCAGUUGCCAGCACUUCGGGUGGGCACUCUGGAGAGACAGCCGGCAAAAGCCGGAGGAAGGCGGGGAUACGUCAAAUCAUCAUGCCCCUUAUGUCCUGGGCUACACACGUGCUACAAUGGCCGCUACAAAGGGGAGCGAAGCCGCGAGGUGGAGCCAAUCCCUUAAAGGCGGUCUCAGUUCGGAUCGCAGGCUGCAACUCGCCUGCGUGAAGUCGGAAUCGCUAGUAAUCGCGGAUCAGAAUGCCGCGGUGAAUACGUUCCCGGGCCUUGUACACACCGCCCGUCACACCACGAGAGUGGGCUACACCCGAAGUCGGUGCGAGAACCUGGUUUAGGCCAGGACUUAGCCGCCGAAGGUGGAGUUCGCGAUUGGGGUGAAGUCGUAACAAGGUA
Molecule: ribosomal RNA, 1476 nt
Filed under: metagenome
Description: bacterial SSU rRNA
Rfam family: Bacterial small subunit ribosomal RNA
Source: RNAcentral